GUAGGUGGCAAGCGUUGUCCGGAAUUAUUGGGCGUAAAGCGCGCGCAGGCGGGUUCUUUAAGUCUGAUGUGAAAGCCCACGGGCUCAACCGUGGAGGGUCAUUGGAAACUGGAGAACUUGAGUACAGAAGAGGAAAGCGGAAUUCCACGUGUAGCGGUGAAAUGCGUAGAGAUGUGGAGGAACACCAGUGGCGAAGGCGGCUUUCUGGUCUGUAACUGACGCUGAGGCGCGAAAGCGUGGGGAGCAAACAGGAUUAGAUACCCUGGUAGUCCACGCCGUAAACGACGAGUGCUAAGUGUUAGGGGGUUUCCGCCCCUUAGUGCUGCAGCUAACGCAUUAAGCACUCCGCCUGGGGAGUACGGCCGCAAGGCUG
RNAcentral lists this ribosomal RNA (373 nucleotides) under uncultured organism. RNAcentral's name for it is "partial 16S ribosomal RNA". It matches the Rfam family "Bacterial small subunit ribosomal RNA", at positions 527 to 896 of the family's 1533-position model. The record is from RNAcentral.